UUCUGGCGUGAGGUUCGUCAUUCAUCGUCAAGUAGCUCGCAAGAUUGGUUUUCCCCAUCUUCAGGUUACGUUCAUUGUGUGAUUGGGAGAUUGCUAUCAGUUACUUUUGGAUAAGGAGAUGCAUCGUGAAAGAUCGGACCAAACAGUUUUUAUCAUCUUGGUAUCCGAGCGCCAGGUUGAUCACGGUGCGGGUUGUUUCGUCGGAGGCAAUCUUGUUCUUGGCGGGUUGGUGCUGCAGCAGUUCAUCGUUUUCUUUCGGUGCUCGCGAGUUGGAGAUCGCAUGCGGAAAGGAUUUCCAAUCUUGGCGAGUUCGUUUUUUCCAAUCAGGUGAUCAGAUCGGAUCGGUUGGCCUGGUAGCGACGGGAAAGAUUCCUUGAUCAGAUUCCUUUCAAAUCGGGAGAUACCAGAUUGACUGGAUUUUCUUCCGCGUGCUGAACAGGAAAAAAAAAGAAAAAAAAAUAGAAACGGAAUUGUGCGUGGGUCAGGUUGGGGUUGCAUCUACGUGAGAACUUUGUACAAGAUUGAUUGGCAUAGCUAUUUGACUUGAAAGGAAAGGAAAGUGGAAUCGGAGGAUUGAGUUGCAGUCGGUUUCAUUUAUUCUGCCGGACAUCGUUGGGCUACGCAUUUUUUUGUUUCGAGCAGAUCCGUUUCGUCCGUGUGGACAUUUCGCUGCAUCUACGUUGCUACAGCAAUAAUAGAAUAAUAUUCAGAGAUGGCUUUAAGUGCUGAUUUGCAAGGUGAUGGGAUUGCUCUUUCAGCGCACGACGUCUACAGUGAUUAUCUAGACCAGAAGAGACAUAUACCUUGGGAUCCUAGUAAACGGACGUGGAAGCUUCUACAUCAUGCAACACCGACACAGUACAAGUUAUGGGGAAAAAAGAUGGAGCAUGGUUUUUGCUUGUGUAAUCUCAAGCAUGAUGAUCCUAUCGCGUACACACUUGAUCCUAUCGCGUACACACUUGCAACAAUGCGUGUGGAUGGACAAAUAUAUAUUUGAUGGGGUAUCAAAACUCGUGCAAGGGGCAUCCCAAGAACAGCUAGUUGGGAGGAUUAUAGGAAGUUUUUGCGUGCUAAAUUUGUGGCACAAUCUGAGACGGAGGACAAGUUGGUUAUUCCAGAGGAGGUUGUACCAUUGAGUGGUUUGAAUGUGCAACUCAAGAGAGU
RNAcentral lists this long non-coding RNA (1164 nucleotides) under Brachypodium distachyon (stiff brome). Its description in RNAcentral is "long non-coding RNA (BDIS_LNC005663)". The record is from RNAcentral. Lineage: Eukaryota; Viridiplantae; Streptophyta; Magnoliopsida; Poales; Poaceae.